This is a non-coding RNA of Mesocricetus auratus (golden hamster), 106 nucleotides long. Lineage: Eukaryota; Metazoa; Chordata; Mammalia; Rodentia; Cricetidae. The record is from Rfam.
AUCCUUUUUUUGGUUCACAAGCCUGAUGAUUUGGGAUUCAUGAAAAUAAAUGACAUGUGACACUUACAAAACUUUGUUAGGACUUGGGCACAUUAUCCAUCUGACA